GGGCCUUAAAAUUGCCUAAAAAACAGACUUUUAAUCAGUGGGUCGCAGGUUCGAAUCCUGCACGGCUCACCA
RNAcentral lists this transfer RNA (72 nucleotides) under Roseovarius sp. Its description in RNAcentral is "tRNA-Ser". It matches the Rfam family "tRNA". Rfam says of the family: Transfer RNA (tRNA) molecules are approximately 80 nucleotides in length. Their secondary structure includes four short double-helical elements and three loops (D, anti-codon, and T loops). The record is from RNAcentral. Lineage: Bacteria; Pseudomonadati; Pseudomonadota; Alphaproteobacteria; Rhodobacterales; Roseobacteraceae.